RNAcentral lists this ribosomal RNA (429 nucleotides) under Bacteroidota bacterium. RNAcentral's name for it is "Bacteroidetes bacterium partial 16S ribosomal RNA". It matches the Rfam family "Bacterial small subunit ribosomal RNA", at positions 355 to 776 of the family's 1533-position model. Lineage: Bacteria; Pseudomonadati; Bacteroidota. The record is from RNAcentral.
UAGGGAAUCUUCGGCAAUGGGGGGAACCCUGACCGAGCAACGCCGCGUGAGUGAAGAAGGUUUUCGGAUCGUAAAGCUCUGUUGUUAAGGAAGAACGAGUGUGAGAAUGGAAAGUUCAUGCUGUGACGGUACUUAACCAGAAAGGGACGGCUAACUACGUGUCAGCAGCCGCGGUAAUACGUAGGUCCCGAGCGUUGUCCGGAUUUAUUGGGCGUAAAGCGAGCGCAGGCGGUUAGAAAAGUCUGAAGUGAAAGGCGGUGGCUCAACCAUUGUAGGCUUUGGAAACUGUAUAACUUGAGUGCAGAAGGGGAGAGUGGAAUUCCAUGUGUGGCGAUGAAAUGCGUAGAUAUAUGGAGGAACACCGGUGGCGAAAGCGGCUCUCUGGUCUGUAACUGACGCUGAGGCUCGAAAGCGUGGGGAGCGAACAGG